Molecule: long non-coding RNA, 648 nt
Organism: Beta vulgaris subsp. vulgaris (sugar beet)
Lineage: Eukaryota; Viridiplantae; Streptophyta; Magnoliopsida; Caryophyllales; Amaranthaceae
Exons: 2
Source: RefSeq, a predicted model, not a curated record
CUGUUUCUGACACCACUAACCCACCCCAAUUACUUCUCUUUCUCCCCGGGUCUUCUAAUCCCCAAAACCCCAAAACUGAAAAACUCCAAACCCCAAUUGAGGAAACCCGAAAACCCCAGACCCGUAAAACUCUCUCGCUCACCUUCGCCUGCGCGUCGCCGGCUAUUCUUCCAGGCUCGUCGAAAUUUCCCCCUUGUCGGCGCCGUCUCACUGUUCUCCUCCUCUCAUAUGUGCUCCUCGAGUCUCUCUCCUCUCGCUGGUUGUUGUUGCUGUUGUGUUGUGGCGGUGUUGCCGUGGAUCUGAUUUCGCCACCGCGAGUCUAGCUCGCCGGACCUGUUGACUAAUACCACUCGCCGGUGUUGUUGUCGUUGAUAUGUCACCUCGCCGGAGCUUCAAACUCCUCUGCCGUGCGUGUCGUCCCUGCUCCAAAUGAGCAGAGGUUUGGUGUUGUGAGCUCAGAAUUUGAAGUGGAGCAAGAUAAAGAUGUUGUCAUAGAUUAAGGAUUGAGUUUGUAUCUAGAUAAAUGAUUUGAGAAUAGAUAAUUAUAUUUCAUUGUAUAUAAUAUUUGGGAAUUUAGUCGAGAUAUUGAUGUAUUUAAGGUUGUUUUUCCACUGCGAGUUAAUUUAUUUAAGAGUUAAUUAUUGUUUA